AGUAAAAUGGUCGAGAUUUUAGGCAAUAGAUUGUAAAUCUAUUUAGGGAAAAUAAAAUUCCUUUUACUA
RNAcentral lists this transfer RNA (69 nucleotides) under Omus cazieri. RNAcentral's name for it is "tRNA-Tyr". It matches the Rfam family "tRNA". From Rfam's summary of the family: Transfer RNA (tRNA) molecules are approximately 80 nucleotides in length. Their secondary structure includes four short double-helical elements and three loops (D, anti-codon, and T loops). Further hydrogen bonds mediate the characteristic L-shaped molecular structure. tRNAs have two regions of fundamental functional importance: the anti-codon, which is responsible for specific mRNA codon recognition, and the 3' end, to which the tRNAs corresponding amino acid is attached (by aminoacyl-tRNA synthetases). tRNAs cope with the degeneracy of the genetic code in two manners: having more than one tRNA (with a specific anti-codon) for a particular amino acid; and 'wobble' base-pairing, i.e. permitting non-standard base-pairing at the 3rd anti-codon position. Lineage: Eukaryota; Metazoa; Arthropoda; Insecta; Coleoptera; Carabidae. The record is from RNAcentral.